UUCCUACGGGGCGCAGCAGCCGCGGUAAUACGUAGGGGGCAAGCGUUAUCCGGAUUUACUGGGUGUAAAGGGAGCGUAGACGGCAGGGCAAGUCUGGAGUGAAAGGCAGGGGCCCAACCCCUGGACUGCUCUGGAAACUGUCCGGCUGGAGUGCAGGAGAGGUAAGUGGAAUUCCUAGUGUAGCGGUGAAAUGCGUAGAUAUUAGGAGGAACACCAGUGGCGAAGGCGGCUUACUGGACUGUAACUGGCGUUGAGGCUCGAAAGCUUGGGGAGCAAACAGGAUUAGAUACCCCGGUAGUCCACAC
This 305-nucleotide ribosomal RNA is filed under the name uncultured bacterium. RNAcentral describes it as "bacterial SSU rRNA". It matches the Rfam family "Bacterial small subunit ribosomal RNA", at positions 498 to 800 of the family's 1533-position model. The record is from RNAcentral.